AUGGUAGCAAAGGCUGUUGCUGGCUUGAAUGAGCAUGUGCACGUCUUCCUGCUGCUUAUUUCAUUCAUUCUCACCUCCUGUGCACUUUUUGUAGACACUUGGGAAUGAGAGGUUGGUUCGUAUUGAUUGACCUCUUGGCAUUGAAACAUUUUCAAUGUAAAGUCUGGGUGUUUAUGCCAAUUUUCAUACACACGUCGCAUGUCUAUAGAAUGAGAUUGUAGCUUUUUUUAAAAAGCCUUUAAAUGAUAAAGUACAACUUUCAACAACGGAUCUCUUGGCUCUCGCAUCGAUGAAGAACGCAGCGAAAUGCGAUAAGUAAUGUGAAUUGCAGAAUUCAGUGAAUCAUCGAAUCUUUGAACGCAUCUUGCGCUCCUUGGUAUUCCGAGGAGCAUGCCUGUUUGAGUGUCAUUAAGUAUCUCAAAAGCUCUUAUGCUAUGCAUGGGACUUUUGGACAUUGGGAGUUGCCGGUCACUGAUACAGUGGUGGGCUCUUCUGAAAAGCAUUAGUUGAGGAGCUUUGCACUCUAUUUGGUGUGAUAGACUAUCUAUGCCAGGAGAUGCUGUAUGAUCCCUCUGCUGUCAAAUAGUCCUUAUUGGACAACAUGAUGAACUUUGACCUCCAAAUC
This 625-nucleotide ribosomal RNA is filed under the name uncultured Amanitaceae. RNAcentral describes it as "eukaryotic LSU rRNA". The stretch from base 255 to 408 matches the Rfam family "5.8S ribosomal RNA". Lineage: Eukaryota; Fungi; Basidiomycota; Agaricomycetes; Agaricales; Amanitaceae. The record is from RNAcentral.